UAGAAGAAAAAAGAACCUACAAAGCAGCCC
Molecule: non-coding RNA, 30 nt
Filed under: Rattus norvegicus (Norway rat)
Lineage: Eukaryota; Metazoa; Chordata; Mammalia; Rodentia; Muridae
Source: RNAcentral